This 550-nucleotide ribosomal RNA is filed under the name uncultured bacterium. RNAcentral describes it as "bacterial SSU rRNA". It matches the Rfam family "Bacterial small subunit ribosomal RNA", at positions 19 to 564 of the family's 1533-position model. The record is from RNAcentral.
CUGGCUCAGAUUGAACGCUGGCGGCAUGCCUUACACAUGCAAGUCGAACGGCAGCACGGGAGCAAUCCUGGUGGCGAGUGGCGAACGGGUGAGUAAUGUAUCGGAACGUACCUUUCAGUGGGGGAUAACGUAGCGAAAGUUACGCUAAUACCGCAUAUUCUGUGAGCAGGAAAGCAGGGGAUCGCAAGACCUUGCGCUGAUUGAGCGGCCGAUAUCAGAUUAGCUAGUUGGUGAGGUAAAGGCUCACCAAGGCGACGAUCUGUAGCGGGUCUGAGAGGAUGAUCCGCCACACUGGAACUGAGACACGGUCCAGACUCCUACGGGAGGCAGCAGUGGGGAAUUUUGGACAAUGGGCGCAAGCCUGAUCCAGCCAUGCCGCGUGAGUGAAGAAGGCCUUCGGGUUGUAAAGCUCUUUCGGCCGGGAAGAAAUCGCAUGGGUUAAUACCCUGUGCGGAUGACGGUACCGGCAUAAGAAGCACCGGCUAACUACGUGCCAGCAGCCGCGGUAAUACGUAGGGUGCGAGCGUUAAUCGGAAUUACUGGGCGUAAA